This 182-nucleotide long non-coding RNA is filed under the name Anas platyrhynchos platyrhynchos (common mallard). Its description in RNAcentral is "lncRNA (ENSAPLG00000027391.1)". The record is from RNAcentral. Lineage: Eukaryota; Metazoa; Chordata; Aves; Anseriformes; Anatidae.
ACUUUAGCCAUGUUUGGAAUAUGAAAUGAUGAGGAAAAAAUGCACCUUUGGCAACAUUCUUGGGUGCAUUUGCAUCAUCUUUCAAGCGUCUAAUCAAGCAUGAAUUACCUAACUGCAGGUACAAGCAGUAAGUUAUUUAUCCAUUUAUCUUAGCUCUUUUUCUCUUUUUAAUUCAUUUUUAU